GAUGAACGCUGGCGGCGUGCCUAAUACAUGCAAGUCGAGCGAACAGACGAGGAGCUUGCUCCUUCGACGUUAGCGGCGGACGGGUGAGUAACACGUAGGUAACCUACCUAUAAGACUGGGAUAACUUUGGGAAACCGGAGCUAAUACCGGAUAAUAUUUCGAACCGCAUGGUUCGAUAGUGAAAGAUGGCUUUGCUAUCACUUAUAGAUGGACCUGCGCCGUAUUAGCUAGUUGGUAAGGUAACGGCUUACCAAGGCAACGAUACGUAGCCGACCUGAGAGGGUGAUCGGCCACACUGGAACUGAGACACGGUCCAGACUCCUACGGGAGGCAGCAGUAGGGAAUCUUCCGCAAUGGGCGAAAGCCUGACGGAGCAACGCCGCGUGAGUGAUGAAGGUCUUCGGAUCGUAAAACUCUGUUAUUAGGGAAGAACAAACGUGUAAGUAACUGUGCACGUCUUGACGGUACCUAAUCAGAAAGCCACGGCUAACUACGUG
Molecule: ribosomal RNA, 497 nt
Filed under: uncultured bacterium
Lineage: Bacteria
Description: partial 16S ribosomal RNA
Rfam family: Bacterial small subunit ribosomal RNA
Source: RNAcentral